Long non-coding RNA from Pongo pygmaeus (Bornean orangutan), 606 nucleotides. RefSeq lists it as uncharacterized. NCBI's taxonomy places the organism in Eukaryota, Metazoa, Chordata, Mammalia, Primates, Hominidae. The record is from RefSeq and is a predicted model, not a curated record. The transcript is spliced from 4 exons.
AGGCUCGGCGUUGGCCCCCGCGCCCCGUGCAAGUGCGCCCUUCUCGGGUGCCCUAGGUCGCGGGGCAGCUGGGGCGGAAGGGCUUGUUCAUUAUUUUGAGAGUUUGUUGUGAACGUCAUAACCCUUCGUCCUUAAAUAUUGCCGAUACUUGACCUACGCAAGAGACAAUGUCAUGUGAUUCAGCCUAAUAUCUCAGAGGAUGCAGCAUUCAAGGUUCUAUCUUGGAAGCAGAGACUGGGCCCUCACCAGAUGCUGAACCUGCUGAGCACCUUGAUCUUCCACUUCACCUUCAUCAGAACUACUGGGGCCGUGGCUGAGAUGUCACAUGGGAGAUAGGAUCACAAAUUUCUGUUGUAUCUGGAUGGAGAUCAGCAGGAGGAUCUAUGGACUGUUUGCUGUGAUUGCACCUGCCAUCUUAUGCAGAAAUGACCUGAAAACAGACUGAAACAACGUGUUCUACAGCCUGAAAAUAUCUACCUUGACUUACAGUUUCAUUAAUGCUGGUGUGAUCAGACUGGACAAAAAUUAGCAUAUGUUAUUAACUAAUCUAAUUCAAGUACCAAUUCUUAAUAGAAACAUAAAACAAUAAAAGCAAUUCAGAAAAUA